Molecule: ribosomal RNA, 120 nt
Filed under: uncultured bacterium
Lineage: Bacteria
Description: partial 16S ribosomal RNA
Rfam family: Bacterial small subunit ribosomal RNA
Source: RNAcentral
AACGAACGCUGGCGGCAGGCCUAACACAUGCAAGUCGAACGAGAAGCCACCUUCGGGUGGUGGAAAGUGGCAGACGGGUGAGUAACGCGUGGGAACGUACCUUUCGGUUCGGGAUAACCC